Long non-coding RNA from Pseudophryne corroboree (corroboree frog), 1560 nucleotides. RefSeq lists it as uncharacterized. Lineage: Eukaryota; Metazoa; Chordata; Amphibia; Anura; Myobatrachidae. The transcript is spliced from 3 exons. The record is from RefSeq and is a predicted model, not a curated record.
CUUUGGAAAAGAUCAUCUCUAAGUGAUACAUCCUAGAUGGCUUCUCACAGCAUAUAUGCCUCCCUCUCCAGACUGUUUGACAACUGUCCUAGACUGUGCUGGGACGUGGUUUAACUUCCUCUCACUCAGGAUGCCCUUUCCAGUUCUACACAGAUGUAGAUACCCACCGCAUUCUAUAAUACUCACUCAUUUUCCAAGACACAAAGAGGUGUGAAUUAUACAGCUAUGGAACGUAGACACAGCUCUUUGGAUGAGCAAAAGCCUCAGAUCAACUUUCAUGUUUCAUAAGUAUUGUUUCCAUGGUGAUGGUCUAUCACGAACUUUGGCCAUGCCCCCGUGAGAUGCCGGGUCAUCAGCGGGUACCUAUGAAGUCAUCAGAUCUCCGGGAGGACAAUGGCGGGUGUCUGCGCGAGGUGUCUUUAUGAAAGCAUGAUGCAGUUAACUGGAAAAAGAGAAAAAGCAGGAAACCAAAUAGCACAUUUGGGAAUGGAGAAGUUCCUGGCUAAGGUUGUUAUUCCUAAUGGACGCACAUAAAUUCCAUCUUCUACUAUUUGCAAACAGCUGACCAAACUGUAGGGUCCGUGCAAAUUCAUCAACAAAAACUAUUAAGAGGCCAAACAUUUUUUUAGCUCAAUAUGCAGACAACUCAGAUACAAUGGGGCCUAAUAAGAUUCUGAAUUCUCCUAGGAGAGUCACAAUGAAACUGCAAGUUACUGUUUUCAGAUCACGCAGCUGUACUGGGAAUACAGAGGAGAAGUAAAGAGUGAAAGCAAUGGAGAAGUUCUCUGCUCACAGACUGCAUGGUAUGUGUACUCACUUGAGCUGUUUACAUCUGACAGCAGCUGUCUCCAACUGCGAACAUACCAAUAGAAGCCAGUUACAAAAGUAAUGUAGACCCCCUGGAAUCUGACUGCCAUUAACUUAUCCAAACUAAGAAGGCUCUCACAUUGUUUCAUUUUGAGGCCUAGAAUACCAAAGUGACAGGACAUAAAUCUGCCCUCUUCCAAAUAUUAACAACACAGGUAGAUUUGUGGAUCUACAGAAACCCGACAAGACUUAAUACAAAUGUAAACGCAAACUGUUGUAAAAAUAUGCAGUGUAUAAAUCCCAUACACAAAGCCCCAGUUGUUAAAGAACUGCGCUUUACAGAUAACUUUAGGACAUAAAGCAAAAUGGUUUUCUAUUUCUGCAUUCUCAUGUACCUAAAAUGUCUAACAUCCUAACACAAAAGAUCUGCAUUGUAGUCGCAGUAUGCAUAAAUAGACUGUACAGAGAUGCACUUAACUGUGUUAGUAACUAGUAAGAAGCUAGACUGUACAUGCUUAUGCCAUGCCCUCCAACUGUACCUUUUUGGCCGGUAUAGUACCGUUUUUUUAUGGUCUGUACCGGCCAAAAAGGGUCUUGUGCAGAUUUCAGUGUCUGCAUUAUCCUAGAUUCCUAUGGCAGCGCCGCUUAGCCAUGCCUCCUUUUCCCAUUGCCACGCCACUUUCAGAGUUUGUACCUUUUUUUUGUUUUGUUUAAGCAUGUCGGAGGGUGUGUUAUGCAUAACUAGACUAUACA